Molecule: long non-coding RNA, 856 nt
Organism: Fopius arisanus
Lineage: Eukaryota; Metazoa; Arthropoda; Insecta; Hymenoptera; Braconidae
Exons: 5
Source: RefSeq, a predicted model, not a curated record
CUGGGAAAAUCAUAAUUUAUCAUAACGUCUUCACCAGGAGCCCUAGACAACUCUUCAUUCCGUUAAGCUCAAACUGUCAAACUUGAAGCAAGCACAACCCACCACCUCCCAUCCGCAAAUAGAAUGUGAAAUGGAGGGCCUAAAAAUAGGAAUGGCCCCUUGGUUCCUAGCCUGGAGAUGAAGAAUGUGAGCCACCGUAACCCAGAAGAAGCUUUACUUGGCGGCCAACGACAGCCCGACAUCCGAUCUAAAUCCCAGCUGCUGUCAGGAUUGAAACUUUCCGGAGGGACUUACCUACCCUCGCGAGUAGAGCGACGCGCGACGAGUGUCGUAUCGUCGAUCGAGGUACAACCAAAAGUUCGGAAAAAGCUCUCUGGAGGGGCGGCCAAAAAUGGCGAGCUUGCGACAAAUCCGAGGAUAAAUCCACUCGUCUGCGCACGUAUUUUCGAUUAUCCAAAUCCAGGAUUUUGGGGAGGGGCGCUAUUCGCGCGCUCUAUCAGCUGGUACGCCUAUGUGCGCAGAAGAUCGCGCUGGCCACCGCGCAUCUCACUUUGGAUCCAAGUUUAAGGUCGCGAUGAUAAUUUUUACCAGGGAAAAUGUGGCUCCCAAGAAUAGGAUUCUGUUACGAUACGAGAGCAUCUAUUAAUAAUGAGUCAAAUACCGAAUCCCUCGACGAAAAAUAUCGGGUUCUCGUCAACAGUUUUUCUUUCCCAAAAUUCACAUUGAGGAAAAAAUGCAAAUUCACGGAUUUUUCAAAAAAAUAUCUCAAUCAAGGGUUUUUUAAAAUGUCGGUGGCUCCAGUUAUUUCCGAUGAAGUUCUCGUUAAUACCCCGCGAGGUCGGCGAACGUCUGGUCC